AGAGCGAACGCCGGCGGCAGGCCUAAUACAUGCAAGUCGAACGCACCUUCGGGUGAGUGGCGGACGGGUGAGUAACACGUGGGAACGUGCCUUUGGUUCGGAAUAAUCCGGGGAAACCUGGUCUAAUACCGGAUGUGCCCUUCGGGGAAAGAUUUAUCGCCAUUAGAGCGGCCCGCGUCUGAUUAGCUUGUUGGUGGGUAAUGGCCCACCAAGGCUACGAUCAGUAGCUGGUCUGAGAGGAUGAUCAGCCACACUGGGACUGAGACACGGCCCAGACUCCUACGGGAGGCAGCAGUAGGGAAUCUUGCGCAAUGGGCGAAAGCCUGACGCAGCCAUGCCGCGUGAAUGAUGAAGGCCCUAGGGUUGUAAAGCCCUUUCGGCGGGAAGAUAAUGACGGUACCCGCAGAAGAAGCCCCGGCUAACUUCGUGCCAGCAGCCGC
RNAcentral lists this ribosomal RNA (440 nucleotides) under uncultured bacterium. Its description in RNAcentral is "SSU rRNA". It matches the Rfam family "Bacterial small subunit ribosomal RNA", at positions 26 to 518 of the family's 1533-position model. The record is from RNAcentral.